GAGGAGGUCUUCUUGUUCAUCUCGUUUGUAGCGCUGAACCUUCUCUGUUGUUGGAACACAUAUUAUUUGGUAUCUCCAGGGAAAUUAGAUACACAUUUUGGAGUUGUCAAGAGAGUAUGAUUUGGUCACUAAGGAGAAAUCCUUGUCUCUAUAAUCCGCUCGUGACCUUGGAAACAUCAAGACAUGAAGGUGAUCCUGGCUUCUCAAAGAAGCAGCUCUUGAAUUGCCUCCAAAAGUUAUGCAUGGAAUCGGUACAAUCUGAAACAAUUGCUUGUAUCAACAAAAUCAAAGAUCUAGGUAUUUAAAGUAUCAUUACAUUAAAAACAUUAAAGACACCCUCAAGUUUCAUUAAAAGCAAUAAAAAAUUCA
This is a long non-coding RNA of Anolis carolinensis (green anole), 369 nucleotides long. RefSeq lists it as uncharacterized. The transcript has 2 exons. Lineage: Eukaryota; Metazoa; Chordata; Lepidosauria; Squamata; Anolidae. The record is from RefSeq and is a predicted model, not a curated record.